ACGAUUUUGGAUCGUCGCUAAAUUACAAGAAGGAUUUUGAAGAAAACCCGCGAUAUUAGCGACGAUAUGUAUAUAUCGUCGCUGAUUAUCUUUUUUUUUGUUUAAUUAGCGAUGAUAUGUUGAUGAUCGUCGUUAGAUAUAACAUUUAGCGACGAUUUAAAAUUUAUCAUCGCUAAUAAUGCGGACCUAUUUAUAAAAUUUUAAAAGAAUAAGGUAUUAAUGUAAAAUGACCCUUUAAACAACCCCCAAUUUCACACUUCACCCCCAAUUUCACUCCCAAACCUUAAACCCUAAACCAUCCACCCCCAAUUUCUCCUCUCGCCGGAUUUUCCUAUUCAUUCUAAAUAGCCGGUUUUCGCCGAUCAUCAUCAACGGAUUUCGCCGGAUUUCUCCUCUCGCCGGUUUUCGCCGAUCAUCAUCAACGGAUUUCGCCGGAUUUCUCCUCUCGCCGGAUUUCGCCAAUCUGUUAUAGAAGCACAAUCUGUUCAUCAUUCUUAAAAGCUGCAAUCAAGUAAGUUUAUUACACUCUGAGCUCAAUAUUUUUCUAUCUUUUCCUUCUCUUCUUUGCUGUUCUUUUUACAAUAAUUUUUUCCCUGCACCGGAGUAAUCACUCAUGAGUCAUGAGAAAAUAUUUUGAUAUCUUCUUGUAGUUGUUUCUCUACCGAAUAAAAAUACCAAAGAAAAAUCACAAAGAAAUUUCACUUGAUUUAAAUUGAUAUAAUUUUUAUUCAUAAUUUAGCAAACUAAAGCAUAAUGCAAGAAACAACACAAACCCAAAAUUAUUGCUCCUAAACACUGGAUAUUGACGGGGUAACUAUUGCCUUAAAAUCUAUCAUUUGAGAAAAAUUUGAGGGACCAGAUUUGCAGCAGAGUAUGCAUAGAUGUAUGUCAAAUAAUCAGAAAAAAUGCCAUCAUAUGCUGGCAGGCUUCAAAUGGAAUAAUAAGCUAUAAUAUAUGUGGGUUUAUGAAGUCCAUUUGUUCAGGAAUUCAGCUAUGACAUUCCUAGACGAGUGAUGGAUAAGAAUUGGAAAAACUUAGAAUUUCCUAUGGAGAAGUGGCAAACUCCUUCCUUCACAUGCAAUCAUAUAUGUAGAUUUACAAAUUUCAGCUAGAAAAUCCCUAAAGUGAUAAAUAAGAUCAGGUAAUUAAUUUGCAUUUUCUAUGGGGAAGGGGGGAUUUCAUUCCUUGGAAGAUCAGUCAAUAAAGGAGGAUCAGAUCUCAGCAAGGUUUAAAAUGUGCUAAGGUGCAGUAUGCUAGCACCAUGCACCUUAUGAUAUCUUGGGGAACAAGCAUGCCUAAUGC
This 1302-nucleotide long non-coding RNA is filed under the name Zostera marina. RNAcentral's name for it is "long non-coding RNA (ZMAR_LNC003268)". The record is from RNAcentral. Lineage: Eukaryota; Viridiplantae; Streptophyta; Magnoliopsida; Alismatales; Zosteraceae.